This 2219-nucleotide long non-coding RNA is filed under the name Lupinus angustifolius (narrow-leaved blue lupine). RNAcentral describes it as "long non-coding RNA (LANG_LNC003541)". The record is from RNAcentral. Lineage: Eukaryota; Viridiplantae; Streptophyta; Magnoliopsida; Fabales; Fabaceae.
UGGAAAAGAAAGAAACUUAAUUAAAAGGAAAAAUGGGUUACCCUUAUUUUCACGUGAUUGAGAAAAGGGGGUGGAAUCCCUAAAAUACCAUUUCCCUUACCUUCUUCUCCAGCGGUGGCAAUGGCGAGCAAGGGACUCACGCCGGUGAAAGAGACGAUGACGACACUGCUUCGAAGUGCUAUCUCCCUUCCUUCUUUCUUCUCCGUCCUUCUCAUCUCAGCGGCACCGGCAUAGGGAACGGUUUAUGGCUAAACCGAGCUCACCGAAGAGACCCACCGAUGGUGAAGCCUCAAAGCCACCAAGCUUCUUCGUUUAUGGUAGUGGGCAACCGAGAGCGAGACGUCACUGGUUCGUGAUGGUGGUGAUUCGCGGUGAUUCGGUUCCUUUUGCAUUAACGACGAGGUGGACGACAAGGUAGGAUUGAUUUCAUCAUUUCCUUCCAAUUUCGCACUUCCUAUUAUAACAUUAUGACCUCCUUCUUGUAUCGAUUCUGAUUCUUCUUUAAAGCUUGAUUCUAUUUCUCUGUUUCGGAGAUUAUUGAAUUGGUGAAUCUGAAUUAUGUUAAUUGCUUGUUGAUUGGAGGAUGAGUAUAUGGCUUGUAUACUCUUUUUAAGCGUAGGAUUAUGCUCUCUGCUUUGUUGUGCGUAUGUGCUAUCUCUAUGUGUUGCACGUAUCCCAUGUUCUUCUCUUUAUGUGUUGCACGUAUGCUCUGAUAGAACUGUGUAUAUGGCUAUUUUCUUUGGCCUUUCCAAUUUGGAAUAUGUUCUAUGAUUUGGUUGGUGUUGUUCUGGAAAUGAGUUUGGUAAAGAUGAGAACCUAUGCCUGGCCACCAAGGCUUCUAGCCAUAUCAAAAAAAGUUACAUAAACCCCCUUCUGGCAAGUGUUUGUGCACACGGCUAGAAUUCCACUUCCCAUCACAACAAUCUUUAAGAGGGUGCUACUCUUGUUUAUGCUAAUGAUGGUAAGGACUAAAUUAUUAUUGUUUCCUACACGGGGUCAUGGAAUGAGGAUUUUUGGAUUGUUGGUUACCAAACAUGGCAAAGGGGAUAAGGGUGGAUGAGAUGGUUUUAUAUGCUAGGAUAAUAUCAGUAUGAGAUUGGAGAAGAGAUAUGUAUAUGUGAAGGUGUUGCUGUGUUGCACCUUUGAGGGGAGAUUUGGGUUUUUUCUCUUCUCUCUCAUAUCAGUGACGUGACUAAUAAAGAGGAGAAGCUGAGAUUAGAAGGAUGUGUUGUGAAGCAAUAUUAUGGAGGAGGUAACAUAAAAAAUAAGAGAAUGUGUAUAUCCCCCUAUAACUGUAUAUGAUAGCUUGUUCUCCCCCUCUUUUCUGGUAUUGUGCUGACCCCUUUUAUAGCUGGUUAUGGGUCAUUUGUUGGUUUGUGAAAACCUUAUGGCUUGCCCAAAAUAUGUAAAGUGCCAUGACCCUUUUGGUUUUCGGAUUUGAUGUAUUAAAAGCUUCUCAUGAAUGCUGCCAUUUAUGCUGAUUAUGACUGUGUGUAUGUGUAACUGUAAGGGGCAUAACCUCUGGUUUAUCAUUGCUUCUUUUACGUGUAACCUUUGGAUGGUUGCUAUUGAUAUUUUUGCACUUAUGUUGAAUAUGUAACUGAAGGGAAAGAUGCCAAUAGCAAUGAUUCCUGUUUGCAUCUCUUUAUUGCCAUCUUUUACAAUUCUUCUGAUUAGGAUUCUCGGCUAAAUCAUUUUCUCUCCUUUUUUACAUUUAAUAAUGGUUCGAAAUGUAACAGUCUGUAGUGGUAGAAUAUAUGUUUUAUCUGACAUUUGGUUUCCUUUGAUAUCAGGUUCUCAACGUGGCUAAUAAAGAGUCAUGCUCUUGGAAACUUGAAGUGUUGUUGAAGCUACACCACGUUCUGCUGAUGAAUUGAGGAAUUUACCCAAAGCAUGAUCAGGACCUGGCUCCCAUUCUGGACACCUUACAGUGUUACGUCCAGCUACCUUUCCAUUUGCAACAUUUGUGACACUGUCAUCCCAAGAACUUUGUAGAAUAUAGAUUUUGUAUUGCUUCUAAGAGUUCAGGCACUGUUUUCUUUGUAUCCUCAUUAGCAACUUCAAUGGCCUCCAUAGGAUAUUUGUAAAGGGAUGGUGAAUGAGAGAUGAUACAUUCAUACACGUGAUGAAAUGAGAGUUUUAAGCAUUUUCAAAACAUAUGAUAAUUUUCUUGCGACUUUCUUUCUUGAAUAUGCAAGUAGUCUAUUAUUUUCUUGCCA